UAUCCUCUAUCGCCGGAUAGAGGAAUAAAGCGUCAGACUUCAUAUCGUAGGCCCGUGAAGAUAUGAAGUUCUGGCGCUUUUAUUUU
Molecule: non-coding RNA, 86 nt
Filed under: unclassified sequences
Source: RNAcentral